AGGACGAACGCUGGCGGCGUGCUUAACACAUGCAAGUCGAACGGGGUUCAACCGGUCGCAAGACCGGCGAAGACCGAGUGGCGAACGGGUGCGUAACACGUGAGAAACCUGUCCCGGUCUCUGGAAUAACAGUCGGAAACGACUGCUAAUACCGGAUGCCGUCGGAGCGUCGCAUGGCGCGCUGACGAAAGGGCUACCGGAUCGGGAGGUCUCGCGGCCUAUCAGCUUGUGGUGAGGUACGCUCACCAAGGCAUCGACGGGUAGCUGGUCUGAGAGGAUGAUCAGCCACACUGGGACUGAGACACGGCCCAGACUCCUACGGGAGCAGCAGUGGGAAUCGUGCACAAGUGGGACGAAAGCCUAGACUGACAGCAACGCCGCGGCGCGGGAUGGAACGGCCCGUAGGGUUCGUAAACCGCUUUACGAGUCGAAGG
RNAcentral lists this ribosomal RNA (434 nucleotides) under uncultured soil bacterium. Its description in RNAcentral is "bacterial SSU rRNA". It matches the Rfam family "Bacterial small subunit ribosomal RNA", at positions 26 to 448 of the family's 1533-position model. The record is from RNAcentral.